GUCUUUUAUUCGCAUAGUAUCUUAUUAUAUAAUAACAAUUAUUUAAUUUGUGUAUACUAGAAAUUCAAUAAAAAAAAUAGACUUACUAGUCUAUUAUCAUUUACAAUGUCAUUUUAUUACAAUAAGUCACGGUUUUAAGUACUUAGUUUAGUAUCUAAAUCAGUGUGUUUAGUUAAUAAUCGACAAAGACAAUGCGGGUACUAGGGUGACGUCAUUUCAAUACCCAGAAAAUAAGUGUUUUUCUCGGGUUUUGGAGGGGUUAUAAUUCAGAAAUAAAGGUUACAAAUAAUAACAAAUUCCUUAGUAAAUAAUGGUUUUCGUUUGGUUCUGAAAUUCCAAAGUGUGAGUACCAGAAAGACAGACCUCCUUCCUACCUACAUCAAUUUAUACUUAUUUCUAUAUAUAUAGUAACUAAAAUUGUUUAGCAAAAUACCGUAAGAAUAUACUUAAAAAAUAUUGAUUACACACAUAAAAAUCAUGUAUAUUAUAAAAGGUUCACCGGAUUGAAGUUGUAAAAAGAAAAAAUUGUUAAUUUUCCCUACGAGUUCUUUCUACUGUUGAAGGCCGAAAUUGGGGAAAUGGCAAAGUAAGUAGUUCCCGCGUAUGACGAGACAGACCCGCUUCUCACGCUGGUCGUUUCACUUGUUGGCGGCUAUGGCUUAAAGAAGAUAUCCCCUACUGGAGUGCCGUGAUUCCAGUGGAUCUUGUACCGGAUGUUUGCAGCUCUCUCUCGUGGACGUUGGAAGACUCUUGUCGCGCCGCUGUGAUCGAAUAAAUAUCAUAACACUCAUUUGCGCUCGAAUAUAUGGUCGUUAGAACUUCGUACGAGUGACAAAGCACCGUUGAAAUCCGACAAGGGAAAAUGGCUGGGUGCUUCCCACGUACGACCUGUUUUUGAGACAGACCCGCGGAACACGUCCGGGAAAUAGUGGCGAUGGAUAGAGAGACCAAAAAUAACGUCGUUCGUCCGCCUCGAUCGGCUGGUGUUUAUGCUGUGUUUGCCAUCUCGACCAGAUUCGCGUGCUCAUUUAAACGCAUGCAUUCUAAAUUG
Molecule: non-coding RNA, 1051 nt
Organism: Cinara cedri
Lineage: Eukaryota; Metazoa; Arthropoda; Insecta; Hemiptera; Aphididae
Source: the annotation of a GenBank genome assembly